This 253-nucleotide ribosomal RNA is filed under the name uncultured bacterium. RNAcentral describes it as "partial 16S ribosomal RNA". It matches the Rfam family "Bacterial small subunit ribosomal RNA", at positions 524 to 776 of the family's 1533-position model. The record is from RNAcentral.
UACUUGGGGUGCAAACGUUGCUCGGAAUUAUUGGGCGUAAAGCGCGCGUAGGCGGUUACUUAAGUCGGAUGUGAAAGCCCUCGGCUUAACUGAGGAAGUGCACCCGAAACUGAGUAGCUAGAGUACGAAAGAGGGUCGCGGAAUUCCCGGUGUAGAGGUGAAAUUCGUAGAUAUCGGGAGGAACACCGGUGGCGAAGGCGGCGACCUGGGUCGAGACUGACGCUGAGGCGCGAAAGCGUGGGGAGCAAACAGG